GCUCCCGUGGCUCAGUUGGCUAGAGCGUCCGACUGUUAAUCGGAAGGUCGGCAGUUCAACCCUGCCCGGGUGCG
Molecule: non-coding RNA, 74 nt
Organism: Thoreauomyces humboldtii
Lineage: Eukaryota; Fungi; Chytridiomycota; Chytridiomycetes; Spizellomycetales; Powellomycetaceae
Source: the annotation of a GenBank genome assembly